UUUCACAGCAGGGCAAACAUGAAGCUGGCCAUCCUGUGCCUCUGUUUGGUUAGUACAGCCUGUGCUGCACCAUUUCAGUACUUGCCUCGUUUCACAUCUUCCAGAGGGGCUCCGCUCCCACAGAUGAAAAAUCCCUUCACCGCUGGAUUCCCACAGCCGGCACUGCCUGGUGCUUACAGCGUGGAGCUCAUUUACCCACACAGAUUUGGCGCUGCUGCUGGACCGGGCCCUGCUCAG
Molecule: long non-coding RNA, 237 nt
Organism: Salarias fasciatus (jewelled blenny)
Lineage: Eukaryota; Metazoa; Chordata; Actinopteri; Blenniiformes; Blenniidae
Exons: 5
Source: RefSeq, a predicted model, not a curated record